RNAcentral lists this ribosomal RNA (200 nucleotides) under uncultured bacterium. Its description in RNAcentral is "partial 16S ribosomal RNA". It matches the Rfam family "Bacterial small subunit ribosomal RNA", at positions 29 to 256 of the family's 1533-position model. The record is from RNAcentral.
AACGAACGCUGGCGGCAUGCCUAACACAUGCAAGUCGAACGAGACCUUCGGGUCUAGUGGCGCACGGGUGCGUAACGCGUGGGAACCUGCCUUGAGGUUCGGAAUAACUCUCCGAAAGGGGUGCUAAUACCGAAUAACGUCUUCGGACCAAAGAUUUAUCGCCUUUAGAUGGGCCCGCGUUGGAUUAGCUUGUUGGUGGG